GACGAACGCUGGCGGCGUGCUUAACACAUGCAAGUCGAACGGAAAGGCCCUGCUUUUGUGUGGUGCUCGAGUGGCGAACGGGUGAGUAACACGUGAGUAACCUGCCCUUGACUUUGGGAUAACUUCAGGAAACUGGGGCUAAUACCGGAUAGGAGCUCCUGCUGCAUGGUGGGGGUUGGAAAGUUUCGGCGGUUGGGGCUGGACGCGCGGCUUAUCAGCUUGUUGGUGGGGUAGUGGCUUACCAAGGGUUUGGCGGGUAGCCGGCAUGGGAGGGUGACCGGCCACAAUGGGACUGAGAUACGGACCAGACUGCUACGGGAGGCAGCAGGGGGGAAUAUUGCACAACGGGCGGAAGCCUGAUGAAGAAACGCCGGGUGCGGGAUGAAGGCCUUCGGGUUGUAAACCGCUUUAGCCUGUGACGAAGCGGGAGUGACGGUAAUGGGUAAAGAAGCACCGGCUAACUACGUG
Molecule: ribosomal RNA, 468 nt
Filed under: uncultured bacterium
Lineage: Bacteria
Description: partial 16S ribosomal RNA
Rfam family: Bacterial small subunit ribosomal RNA
Source: RNAcentral